AUACGUAGGUGUCAAGCGUUAUCCGGAAUUAUUGGGCGUAAAGAGGGAGCAGGCGGCAGCAAGGGUCUGUGGUGAAAGCCUGAAGCUUAACUUCAGUAAGCCAUAGAAACCAGGCAGCUAGAGUGCAGGAGAGGAUCGUGGAAUUCCAUGUGUAGCGGUGAAAUGCGUAGAUAUAUGGAGGAACACCAGUGGCGAAGGCGACGAUCGGGCCUGCAACUGACGCUCAGUCCCGAAAGCGUGGGGAGCAAAUAGGAUUAGAUACCCUAGUAGUCCACGCCGUAAACGAUGAGUACUAAGUGUUGGAUGUCAAAGUUCAGUGCUGCAGUUAACGCAAUAAGUACUCCGCCUGAGUAGUACGUUCGCAAGAAUGAAACUCAAAUGAAUUGACGGGG
Molecule: ribosomal RNA, 392 nt
Filed under: uncultured bacterium
Lineage: Bacteria
Description: partial 16S ribosomal RNA
Rfam family: Bacterial small subunit ribosomal RNA
Source: RNAcentral